AGUCAUCUGAUACAUGGGAAAUUUUGAAGAAGAUCAUGGAGUUGCUAAGCUUGGAUGUGGCUAUCUUAAUUUGAUGCAUUGCUCUUCACUUUGCCAUUUGUGUAUUGAUAUUGCUUGAUUCUAAAGUCCAAGGGAAAUUUGGGUUUCUAUAUGACAUUCUUGUCUAUUGGAUUGCCGCCCAUUGGUCAGAUCUUUUCAACUCUUAACUUUUAAAUUUGUGCUUAGGAUUAGUCUCU
RNAcentral lists this long non-coding RNA (236 nucleotides) under Lathyrus oleraceus (garden pea). Its description in RNAcentral is "Pisum sativum (pea) long non-coding RNA (PSAT_LNC039395)". Lineage: Eukaryota; Viridiplantae; Streptophyta; Magnoliopsida; Fabales; Fabaceae. The record is from RNAcentral.